AUUCAAGGAAACCUCAGCCCUAUUCGAAAUUUAUCCCAUCAUGGCAGCCGCACACACCUGGGGUCAUCUCUAGUCCGGCAAGGCAGUAAAAUUCUAUUCUGAUAACUCGGUGGCUUGCGAAAUCAUAAACAAGGGGCGCUCAUCAUCCCUUACCAUUAUGCGGCUGAUUCGCAAGCUGACCUGGCUGGCAGCAACCGUCCAGUUUCAUUUAGUUUGUUUUCAC
Molecule: non-coding RNA, 223 nt
Organism: Pelobates cultripes (western spadefoot toad)
Lineage: Eukaryota; Metazoa; Chordata; Amphibia; Anura; Pelobatidae
Source: the annotation of a GenBank genome assembly